This 253-nucleotide ribosomal RNA is filed under the name uncultured bacterium. RNAcentral's name for it is "partial 16S ribosomal RNA". It matches the Rfam family "Bacterial small subunit ribosomal RNA", at positions 524 to 776 of the family's 1533-position model. The record is from RNAcentral.
UACGGGGGGAGCAAGCGUUGUUCGGAUUCAUUGGGCGUAAAGGGUGCGUAGGCGGCGCGGUAAGUCGGGUGUGAAAUCUCGGGGCUUAACUCCGAAACUGCAUUCGAUACUACCGUGCUUGAGGACUGGAGAGGAGACUGGAAUUUACGGUGUAGCGGUGAAAUGCGUAGAUAUCGUAAGGAAGACCAGUGGCGAAGGCGGGUCUCUGGACAGUUCCUGACGCUGAGGCACGAAGGCCAGGGGAGCAAACGGG